UUAAAGACUCAGUUCACUUAGAGAAAGAGGUUCAUUGUGCGCUGCCCUAAGCCCCUAACCCCUUCUUGUUCGUGCUCUGCCCUAACUCCUCCAUCAAAAGUCCCAACGCGAUGAGACACUCACUGCCCUAACUCCUCCUCCUUCAUUGUGCCUCGCCCUCACUCGCCGUGGAUGCUCCCCUUUGCCGCUGCUCCCUUACGUCGCUGCAAAACCCUAACCCCCUAACCCCUUCCGCGCCGCUCCCUUCCUGCUUCUUGCUUCUUUGAUGUAUUGAAGGCAAUCUCGUUGAAGCAGAAGUGGGAUUUGAACGAUUUGCGGGUUCUUAAUUCGGAAUCUGUUGGGAACAGGUUCAGGUUCGGAACGUUUCAGAACUUCGAGUUCAUAAUUGGGUUUGGGAAAAAGAGCAAUUUUUCUGUGAAAUUCCCUUAGCCACAGGCGCUGCAGAAGCAGAACGCGGUCACCGCCGAGGCGCCGCACAAGGCACAGAAGCAGAAGCACUUCGUCGCCCUCUCCUCUUCCUCCUAAAUCGCGCAGUCCCAGUGUCGUUGCGAACCAUCACAAGCUCAAAAAAGACGAAGAAGAAAAGAGAAGGUAACUGAUUUUUGUUAUUUAUCCCUUCAUUUAUUUAUCUAUUUUGUAGUUUGUGUUCGUGAUUUUUUUCCUGAAUUGGUUGAUAAUUUAGUGUGUAAUAUUGGUGAGAAAAUGUGAAACGAAGAGAAUUCUAUUGGUUGAGACUAGCAAUUUCUGAUUCAUGCUUGCUAGUUUUAACUUUAAUUUAUGAAGAAUGCACCGCACUGGAAAUUGGGUAUGUUGAAAAUGCGUGAUAAUUUUAGCAGUUAUUCGAUGUAUUUUAGCUGUUAUUCGAUGCUUGCUAGGUUUUUGGGGACCUCAAAUAUAAUUUCGAGAGGGUGAGCCUUUGUAUUUCUAUAGUUAACAUGAAUAUGAAGAUAUAAAUCUGAUAGCAGUUUGGAGAUUAUGUAUGUGUGCAGAUUAAAACAGGGGGAAGAAAUUUUCAUGGACUUAAUUUAUGUAAAUUUUUUUCUCUUACUCUUAAUACUAUUUGUUCCUUUGUUAAUAAUGUUUAAUCCCUUCGUCCCUCCACCUUCGUCCCUCCGCCUUCGUCCCUGCUGGUAAUGUAUUCAUUAUCAGUUCUAUUAGUUAAAAAAUAAUGUUAAAUAAUAUUGUUGAAGUAAAACAGACCUAGAAGAAAGUCACAUUGAAUAAGAUGUUGAGUCGAAUGCAAGGUGUUUGGUUUUGGUUUUGGUUGAUUGCCCUGUUAUGAAAUUAAAGCAACAUUUCGUGCUAUGUAUGAUGGUUUUGGUUGACUGCCCUGUUAUGAAAUUAGUGUAGCGAGUGGUAUGUGACUUGAUGGAAUAGAGGUUGUUUAAAUGUGUAUUGCAUUUGGAGGUAGGUUGAGAAAAAAAAAAGGACAUGGCGUUCCUAGCAGCAGUUUUUAUUCUUCCUGCAGGCACUCUUUUCAUUCUCUCAGGCCUUAUUGUUAACGCAAUGCAGAUUCAAGAAUUUGACGAAGCAAGAAAGAAGUUCUCAAAUGCUAAAUCUCUUUCUUCCUCCCAAUUUUUUGAUCAGAACAAAGCUGUAGACGUGGCUGCUCAAGCUACUUUGUCAAAGUUUUCAGAUUUCCCGAGAGUUCUGAGGCUGGCGAAGCUGAGCAACAAUGGUGCUGUGCUCUUAUGCAAGAACACGAGUUUUUCUUUCUCUUCCCUCAAAUGGAGGAACCUUCUGGGAGGACAUGGUUCAAGCCGUGGUGUUUUUCUUUGUGAUGAGGACAUUUUCCUUUGGGAUGAGGACCUUGGAGUUUAAGAGUUCCACCCAGAUAAGAAUUUAUAUAUCUAUCAUUAAAAGUGAAGGGCUGGAGAUUUCACAACCAGCACUUGAUCCUCAACUUUCUGAAAGGUUAUGCUGUGGAGAUUUCACAACCAGCUCUGGAGAUUUUUCAGUUACUUACUGUGCUUAGAACUGGGCUUCGACUUCCUUGGUAUCCAAAUUAAAAGGUAUUGCUGAGAGAAAAAAGCUAGAGGACUUGACAAUUGGUCCAGUUCUCACUGUAAGUACAUGUCUUUCAUUUUCUUAAAUUUAAAAUUAAAAUAAGUGUUGGCAGCUUCAUACAUUUGUGUAUUAUUCUCCCUAAGAUAUGAUUUGUGGAGAGAGAACUACUCUUGAGUGCAGUAAGUGAGAAGAUAUGAACGAAUUCUAGAGUUAAUUGAAAUAAGUUAUACAUAACUAUUCUAGUGUUUAUAUCCAUGCUUUUGAUUGAUGAUUAAAAAGGAGUUUAUCUGGUGGGGGUGGGAGCUACGAACAAUUUGCUGCUUUCAGGUUAAACACACAUUUCCAAGUUUGUGCCCUAGUUGAUAUAGGUGUGCAUUAUUUAUUUGUUUGACAUUAUUGGUAAUGGUAAACUGCAGACUGUGGAGUCAUAUAUCCAAUAGUAUAUUAGUUGUUUGAUAAAUAAUUACUCAGAGGUUCUUUUUAAUUUUCUUACUUUAUUUCACUUCUUUUUUUAUUCUUUUUUUAUUUUUUAUGUGCAGUUUUCAACUGAAUCAAUGUUGUAAAUAGAGAAAAUUAAAUAGAAGAAAAGCAUAGCUUAACGAAAAGCUUUUGAAGAUGCAUAUACUCACAAUCAUGUUCUUAUAUACUUUUGGUUGUUGUGCUUGCAAGAAGGACAUACAAAAUUGGAGGUUGUGAUUUGAGCAGCACUGCUCCUCCUUGUACCAGGUAGAUUGAAAUGAUGGCUCAUGUUUUCUCAAGAGCUGCAUGGCAUUGCAUGUGGUAUAUGAUCCAGGUGGAUUGAAAUGAUGGCUCCCGGAUUAGUAAUAUGUAAUUCUAGGAUGGUAGCUUGCUUAGAAUCUUCGUUAGCUUGGGUACUAGUAGUGUUUUAUUGUUUCAGUAAAAACUAGUGGUCUCUUUUGUAACUUCCUAUUGAUUCUAAAAUUUUCUCUUAUGUAAUAAUAUGUAAAGCAAGUAGAUAAUGUAAUAGUUGUUGUAAUGAUUGGAUUAGUUGAUUUAAAAUUAAUGGUCAUUGUAUAAAUUUUACAA
Molecule: non-coding RNA, 3054 nt
Organism: Arachis ipaensis
Lineage: Eukaryota; Viridiplantae; Streptophyta; Magnoliopsida; Fabales; Fabaceae
Source: RefSeq, a predicted model, not a curated record